This 467-nucleotide ribosomal RNA is filed under the name uncultured bacterium. Its description in RNAcentral is "bacterial SSU rRNA". It matches the Rfam family "Bacterial small subunit ribosomal RNA", at positions 331 to 793 of the family's 1533-position model. The record is from RNAcentral.
CCAGACUCCUACGGGAGGCAGCAGUGAGGAAUAUUGGUCAAUGGUCGGGAGACUGAACCAGCCAAGCCGCGUGAGGGAUGAAGGUACAGAGUAUCGUAAACCUCUUUUGUCAGGGAACAAAGGCGGGGACGUGUCCCCGGAUGAGUGUACCUGAAGAAAAAGCAUCGGCUAACUCCGUGCCAGCAGCCGCGGUAAUACGGAGGAUGCGAGCGUUAUCCGGAUUUAUUGGGUUUAAAGGGAGCGUAGGCCGGUCUUUAAGCGUGCCGUGAAAUUUUGUGGCUCAACCAUGAGAGUGCGGCGCGAACUGGAGACCUUGAGUGCGCGGAAGGCAGGCGGAAUUCGUGGUGUAGCGGUGAAAUGCAUAGAUAUCACGCAGAACUCCGAUUGCGAAGGCAGCAUACCGGCGCGCAACUGACGCUCAUGCACGAAAGCGUGGGGAUCGAACAGGAUUAGAUACCCCUGUACAG